Molecule: ribosomal RNA, 465 nt
Filed under: uncultured bacterium
Lineage: Bacteria
Description: partial 16S ribosomal RNA
Rfam family: Bacterial small subunit ribosomal RNA
Source: RNAcentral
CCUACGGGAGGCAGCAGUGGGGAAUUUUGGACAAUGGGCGCAAGCCUGAUCCAGCUAUUCCGCGUGUGGGAAGACGGCCUUCGGGUUGUAAACCACUUUUGUAGAGAACGAAAAGUCUAUCGCUAAUCCCGUUUGACGAUGACGGUACUUUAAGAAUAAGCACCGGCUAAUUACGUGCCAGCAGCCGCGGUAAUACGUAGGGUGCGAGCGUUAAUCGGAUUUAUUGGGCGGAAAGGGUGUGCAGGCGGUUUUGCAAGAUGGAUGUGAAAGCCCCGGGCUUAACCUGGGAAAGCCAUACAUGACUGCAAGCCUAGAGUGCGUCAGAGGGAGGUGGAAUUCCAAGUGUAGCAGUGAAAUGCGUAGAUAUUUGGAAGAACACCGAUGGCGAAGGCAGCCCCCUGGGACGCAACUGACGCUGAUGCACGAAAGCGUGGGGAGCAAACAGGAUUAGAUACCCUAGUAGUC